This is a long non-coding RNA of Nycticebus coucang (slow loris), 982 nucleotides long. RefSeq lists it as uncharacterized. The transcript has 4 exons. Lineage: Eukaryota; Metazoa; Chordata; Mammalia; Primates; Lorisidae. The record is from RefSeq and is a predicted model, not a curated record.
CCUCCUCCACUCUGUUCGGCUCCACUCAGCCCCUUUCGGCUCCACUUAACGGCUGAGGCGACCCCGACCCACGUGCACUUGUCCGCUGGAUUCAGCACGUGUUAAAAGGCGGGUCACCAGUUACCGCAGCGGGGCAGGAUACAGUAGUUUGCUCCAGCUGCCUAAGCCCUCUUCUACCCACUUCGACCCACAUCGGCUCCGUUCGGCACAGCUCGGCUCCACCCGGCCUCUUCGGUCACGCAGGAAACCUCUGGGGGAGCUCUGUUCCAAACCACCGUGGAGGUGUUGGUCACCGUGGACACCUCGUGAGCUGAGGGACGUGCCUGAGUUCUGGAGUAUCUCAGACGGCAUCGCUGCCACGCCCUGUACUCGCAACGACCUCAGACCCCUCUUCUUAUCAGCCAUCUCUGCAAAACGCAGCGGUUUCUCCUCUGGCUCUCCCGGGCCUCGUAGCAGGAGUACUGUGUGGACACAGAAGAGACGGGAGCAAGACAGCCAUAUGGCAAAAUGCUGCAAAAUCGGAGAAAUCAACUGCAAAUCCUAGUGCCCAACACCAUCAGAAGCAGAAAACAUGUCAGAAUUCAGUAUAUUGCCUACAAAAGGGAGAGAACUCUGGUAUUCUUUUGAAAUGAUGAUGUAACACUGAGAUGGAGAUGCCCACUUCCUUUUAUUAAUUACCUGGCAUAUUGGACACAAUUAAUCAACUUGGCAUGGAAAGAUAAUUCAUCCUGCAGAUAAUUAAUUACUACUCACCAUGCAGAGGUGAAAAUUUUGUCCUGAUGGGGCUACCUGUGUGCCAACUUCUGUGUAGUAUCCCAUGUCUUCCAACUGGUGGCAUCCUGACAGUGUUGGGGGAACCUGGAUCGCAGGAUGGAGCAGAUCUAGGAGAAAAAAGACAGAAGCAGCUCAAAUGCAGCACCCUCUCUGCCUGCUCUGAUUGGUGCUUCCAGGGAUGUCUGUAAGCCCAGCUUCUUUAAUCCAA